This 845-nucleotide ribosomal RNA is filed under the name uncultured Enhydrobacter sp. RNAcentral describes it as "bacterial SSU rRNA". It matches the Rfam family "Bacterial small subunit ribosomal RNA", at positions 337 to 1173 of the family's 1533-position model. Lineage: Bacteria; Pseudomonadati; Pseudomonadota; Alphaproteobacteria; Hyphomicrobiales. The record is from RNAcentral.
UCCUACGGGAGGCAGCAGUAAGGAAUAUUGGACAAUGGGGGCAACCCUGAUCCAGCCAUGUCGCGUGUGUGAAGAAGGCCUUUUGGUUGUAAAGCACUUUAAGCAGGGAGGAGAGGCUAAUGGUUAAUACCCAUUAGAUUAGACGUUACCUGCAGAAUAAGCACCGGCUAACUCUGUGCCAGCAGCCGCGGUAAUACAGAGGGUGCGAGCGUUAAUCGGAAUUACUGGGCGUAAAGCGAGUGUAGGUGGCUCAUUAAGUCACAUGUGAAAUCCCCGGGCUUAACCUGGGAACUGCAUGUGGUACUGGUGGUGCUAGAAUAUGUGAGAGGGAAGUAGAAUUCCAGGUGUAGCGGUGAAAUGCGUAGAGAUCUGGAGGAAUACCGAUGGCGAAGGCAGCUUCCUGGCAUAAUAUUGACACUGAGAUUCGAAAGCGUGGGUAGCAAACAGGAUUAGAUACCCUGGUAGUCCACGCCGUAAACGAUGUCUACUAGCCGUUGGGGUCCUUGAGACUUUAGUGGCGAAGUUAACGCGAUAAGUAGACCGCCUGGGGAGUACGGCCGCAAGGUUAAAACUCAAAUGAAUUGACGGGGGCCCGCACAAGCGGUGGAGCAUGUGGUUUAAUUCGAUGCAACGCGAAGAACCUUACCUGGUCUUGACAUAGUGAGAAUCCUGCAGAGAUGCGGGAGUGCCUUCGGGAAUUCACAUACAGGUGCUGCAUGGCUGUCGUCAGCUCGUGUCGUGAGAUGUUGGGUUAAGUCCCGCAACGAGCGCAACCCUUUUCCUUAUUUGCCAGCGGGUUAAGCCGGGAACUUUAAGGAUACUGCCAGUGACAAACUGGAGGAAGG